Molecule: ribosomal RNA, 515 nt
Filed under: uncultured bacterium
Lineage: Bacteria
Description: bacterial SSU rRNA
Rfam family: Bacterial small subunit ribosomal RNA
Source: RNAcentral
AGAGUUUGAUUCUGGCUCAGGAUGAACGCUGGCGGCGUGCUUAACACAUGCGAGUCGAACGGAGGACCCUUGACGGAGUUUCGGACAACAGAUAGGAAUCCUAGUGGCGGACGGGUGAGUAACGCGUGAGGAACCUGCCUUGGAGAGGGGAAUAACACAGAGAAAUUUGUGCUAAUACCGCAUGAUACAAUUCUAUCGCAUGGUAGUGAUUGUCAAAGAUUUUUAUCGCUCUGAGAUGGCCUCGCGUCUGAUUAGCUUGUUGGCGGGGUAACGGCCUACCAAGGCUGCGAUCAGUAGCCGGACUGAGAGGUUGAACGGCCACAUUGGGACUGAGAUACGGCCCAGACUCCUACGGGAGGCAGCAGUGGGGAAUAUUGGGCAAUGGGCGAAAGCCCUGACCCAGCAACGCCGCGUGAAGGAAGAAGGUCUUCGGAUUGUAAACUUCUUUUAUGAGGGACGAAGGACGUGACGGUACCUCAUGAAUAAGCCACGGCUAACUACGUGCCAGCAGCCGC